UACGUAGGGGGCAAGCGUUGUCCGGAAUCAUUGGGCGUAAAGCGCGUGUAGGCGGCUCGAUAAGUCUGCUGUGAAAGUUCAGGGCUCAACCCUGAAAUGCCGGUGGAAACUGUCGAGCUAGAGUCCGGAAGAGGUGAGUGGAAUUCCUGGUGUAGCGGUGAAAUGCGCAGAUAUCAGGAGGAACACCAAUGGCGAAGGCAGCUCGCUGGGACGGUACUGACGCUGAGACGCGAAAGCGUGGGGAGCAAACAGG
This 253-nucleotide ribosomal RNA is filed under the name uncultured bacterium. RNAcentral's name for it is "partial 16S ribosomal RNA". It matches the Rfam family "Bacterial small subunit ribosomal RNA", at positions 524 to 776 of the family's 1533-position model. The record is from RNAcentral.